Molecule: transfer RNA, 74 nt
Filed under: Caudoviricetes sp.
Lineage: Duplodnaviria; Heunggongvirae; Uroviricota; Caudoviricetes
Description: tRNA-Leu
Rfam family: tRNA
About the family: Transfer RNA (tRNA) molecules are approximately 80 nucleotides in length.
Source: RNAcentral
CGCGGAGUAGAGCAGAUGGGCAGCUCGGCGGUCUCAGUAGCCGCAGAUCGUUGGUUCGAAUCCAACCUCCGCAA